CCGGCUAAAACACAUCGACAAGGUCGUGCGAUGUAACCACCUUCGGGUGGGGAUUAGUGGCGAACGGGUGAGUAACACGUGGGCAAUCUGCCCUUCACUCUGGGACAAGCCCUGGAAACGGGGUCUAAUACCGGAUACUGACCUGCCAAGGCAUCUUGGCGGGUCGAAAGCUCCGGCGGUGAAGGAUGAGCCCGCGGCCUAUCAGCUUGUUGGUGACGUAAUGGCUCACCAAGGCGACGACGGGUACCCGGCCUGAGAGGGCGACCGGCCACACUGGGACUGAGACACGGCCCAAACUCCUACGGGAGGCAGCAGUGGGGAAUAUUGCACAAUGGCCGAAAGCCUGAUGCAGCGACACCGCGUGACGGAUGACGGCCUUCAGGUUGUACACUCCUUUCGGCACUUAACAAAC
Molecule: ribosomal RNA, 412 nt
Filed under: Streptomyces sp.
Lineage: Bacteria; Bacillati; Actinomycetota; Actinomycetes; Kitasatosporales; Streptomycetaceae
Description: bacterial SSU rRNA
Rfam family: Bacterial small subunit ribosomal RNA
Source: RNAcentral